Molecule: microRNA precursor, 101 nt
Filed under: Pelobates cultripes (western spadefoot toad)
Lineage: Eukaryota; Metazoa; Chordata; Amphibia; Anura; Pelobatidae
Source: RNAcentral
GUAUAUAAUGCAGAGUGUGUGUUUGUAUGAGUGUGUGUGUAUAUAAUGCAGAGUGUGUGCAUUAUAUACACACACACUCAUACAAACACACACUCUGCAUU